Molecule: ribosomal RNA, 497 nt
Filed under: uncultured bacterium
Lineage: Bacteria
Description: partial 16S ribosomal RNA
Rfam family: Bacterial small subunit ribosomal RNA
Source: RNAcentral
GAUGAACGCUGGCGGCGUGCCUAAUACAUGCAAGUCGAGCGAACAGAUGAGGAGCUUGCUCCUCUGACGUUAGCGGCGGACGGGUGAGUAACACGUGGAUAACCUACCUAUAAGACUGGGAUAACUUCGGGAAACCGGAGCUAAUACCGGAUAAUAUAUUGAACCGCAUGGUUCAAUAGUGAAAGACGGUUUUGCUGUCACUUAUCGAUGGAUCCGCGCCGCGUUAGCUAGUUGGUAAGGUAACGGCUUACCAAGGCAACGAUGCGUAGCCGACCUGAGAGGGUGAUCGGCCACACUGGAACUGAGACACGGUCCAGACGCCUACGGGAGGCAGCAGUAGGGAAUCUUCCGCAAUGGGCGAAAGCCUGACGGAGCAACGCCGCGUGAGUGAUGAAGGUCUUCGGAUCGUAAAACUCUGUUAUUAGGGAAGAACAAAUGUGUAAGUAACUAUGCACGUCUUGACGGUACCUAAUCAGAAAGCCACGGCUAACUACGUG